This 581-nucleotide ribosomal RNA is filed under the name Salmonella enterica subsp. enterica serovar Infantis. RNAcentral describes it as "bacterial SSU rRNA". It matches the Rfam family "Bacterial small subunit ribosomal RNA", at positions 1 to 571 of the family's 1533-position model. The record is from RNAcentral. RNAcentral also lists the same sequence under 1 other name. Lineage: Bacteria; Pseudomonadati; Pseudomonadota; Gammaproteobacteria; Enterobacterales; Enterobacteriaceae.
AAAUUGAAGAGUUUGAUCAUGGCUCAGAUUGAACGCUGGCGGCAGGCCUAACACAUGCAAGUCGAACGGUAACAGGAAGCAGCUUGCUGCUUCGCUGACGAGUGGCGGACGGGUGAGUAAUGUCUGGGAAACUGCCUGAUGGAGGGGGAUAACUACUGGAAACGGUGGCUAAUACCGCAUAACGUCGCAAGACCAAAGAGGGGGACCUUCGGGCCUCUUGCCAUCAGAUGUGCCCAGAUGGGAUUAGCUUGUUGGUGAGGUAACGGCUCACCAAGGCGACGAUCCCUAGCUGGUCUGAGAGGAUGACCAGCCACACUGGAACUGAGACACGGUCCAGACUCCUACGGGAGGCAGCAGUGGGGAAUAUUGCACAAUGGGCGCAAGCCUGAUGCAGCCAUGCCGCGUGUAUGAAGAAGGCCUUCGGGUUGUAAAGUACUUUCAGCGGGGAGGAAGGUGUUGCGGUUAAUAACCGCAGCAAUUGACGUUACCCGCAGAAGAAGCACCGGCUAACUCCGUGCCAGCAGCCGCGGUAAUACGGAGGGUGCAAGCGUUAAUCGGAAUUACUGGGCGUAAAGCGCACG